UACGUAGGGUGCGAGCGUUGUCCGGAAUUAUUGGGCGUAAAGAGCUCGUAGGCGGUUUGUUGCGUCGGCCGUGAAAACUUGGGGCUUAACCCCGAGCCUGCGGUCGAUACGGGCAGACUUGAGUUCGGCAGGGGAGACUGGAAUUCCUGGUGUAGCGGUGAAAUGCGCAGAUAUCAGGAGGAACACCGGUGGCGAAGGCGGGUCUCUGGGGCCGAUACUGACGCUGAGGAGCGAAAGCGUGGGGAGCGAACAGG
This 254-nucleotide ribosomal RNA is filed under the name uncultured bacterium. RNAcentral's name for it is "partial 16S ribosomal RNA". It matches the Rfam family "Bacterial small subunit ribosomal RNA", at positions 524 to 776 of the family's 1533-position model. The record is from RNAcentral.